UUUCCGUAGGUGAACCUGCGAAAGGAUCAUUCAUAAUAAGUGUUUUAUGGCACUUUUUUAAAUCCAUAUCCACCUUGUGUGCAAUGUCAGGGUUGAUUUUUCUCUCGAGAGGAUCAACCCCAAACAUCAACUAUAUCUCAACUCUUUGUCUGAAAAAUACUAUGAAUAAAACAAUUCAAAAUACAACUUUCAACAACGGAUCUCUUGGCUCUC
Molecule: unclassified non-coding RNA, 213 nt
Filed under: plant metagenome
Description: partial contains small subunit ribosomal RNA, internal transcribed spacer 1, and 5.8S ribosomal RNA
Source: RNAcentral